GAUGUGUCGGAAGGAUGUCGGGAGGGGUUUUUAGAAACUAAUAAAAAAACAAAUUACAUAGCUCGUCAGAAAACUGCAAGACAAAUCUAUUAAGUAUAAUUAAUCUGUCAUUAGCACAUGUAGGUUACUGUAGCACUUAAGGCUAAUCAUGGAGUAACUAGGCUUAAAAGAUUCGUCUCGUGAUUUUCAACCGAACUGUGUAAUUAGUUUAUUUUUUUUAUGUACAUUUAUUGUUUCAUGCAUGUGUCCAAAGAUUCGAUGGGAUGGAUGAAAAAAUUUUAGGUGGCAAACUAAACAGGGCCU
RNAcentral lists this long non-coding RNA (303 nucleotides) under Sorghum bicolor (sorghum). Its description in RNAcentral is "long non-coding RNA (SBIC_LNC016837)". The record is from RNAcentral. Lineage: Eukaryota; Viridiplantae; Streptophyta; Magnoliopsida; Poales; Poaceae.